AUUGAACGCUGGCGGCAUGCCUUACACAUGCAAGUCGAACGGCAGCACGGGAGCAAUCCUGGUGGCGAGUGGCGAACGGGUGAGUAGUACAUCGGAACGUGCCUAGUAGUGGGGGAUAGCCCGGCGAAAGCCGGAUUAAUACCGCAUACGACCUGAGGGUGAAAGCGGGGGAUCGCAAGACCUCGCGCUAUCAGAGCGGCCGAUGCCAGAUUAGGUAGUUGGUGGGGUAAAAGCCUACCAAGCCGACGAUCUGUAGCUGGUCUGAGAGGACGACCAGCCACACUGGGACUGAGACACGGCCCAGACUCCUACGGGAGGCAGCAGUGGGGAAUUUUGGACAAUGGGCGCAAGCCUGAUUCAGCCAUGCCGCGUGCAGGAAGAAGGCCUUCGGGUUGUAAACUGCUUUUGUCAGGGAAGAAAAGUUCUGGGCUAAUACCCCGGAGCGAUGACGGUACCUGAAGAAUAAGCACCGGCUAACUACGUGCCAGCCGCCGCCGUAA
Molecule: ribosomal RNA, 500 nt
Filed under: uncultured bacterium
Lineage: Bacteria
Description: partial 16S ribosomal RNA
Rfam family: Bacterial small subunit ribosomal RNA
Source: RNAcentral